Molecule: transfer RNA, 77 nt
Filed under: Fidelibacterota bacterium
Lineage: Bacteria; Pseudomonadati; Fidelibacterota
Description: tRNA-Pro
Rfam family: tRNA
About the family: Transfer RNA (tRNA) molecules are approximately 80 nucleotides in length. Their secondary structure includes four short double-helical elements and three loops (D, anti-codon, and T loops). Further hydrogen bonds mediate the characteristic L-shaped molecular structure. tRNAs have two regions of fundamental functional importance: the anti-codon, which is responsible for specific mRNA codon recognition, and the 3' end, to which the tRNAs corresponding amino acid is attached (by aminoacyl-tRNA synthetases). tRNAs cope with the degeneracy of the genetic code in two manners: having more than one tRNA (with a specific anti-codon) for a particular amino acid; and 'wobble' base-pairing, i.e. permitting non-standard base-pairing at the 3rd anti-codon position.
Source: RNAcentral
CGGAGCGUGGCGUAGCCCGGUAGCGCACUUGACUGGGGGUCAAGGGGUCGCGAGUUCAAAUCUCGCCGCUCCGACUA